CACGGAGUUAGCCGAUGCUUUUUCUCCGGGUACUCUCCGCCUGGGCACACGUGCUCAGGCUUGCUCCCCGGCAAAAGAGGUUUACAAUCCGUAGGGCCGUCUUCCCUCACGCGACUUGGCUGGUUCAGGCUUGCGCCCAUUGACCAAUAUUCCUCACUGCUGCCUCCCGUAGGAGUCUGGACCGUGUCUCAGUUCCAGUGUGGGGGACCUUCCUCUCAGAACCCCUACGCAUCGUCGCCUUGGUGGGCCGUUGCCCCGCCAACUAGCUAAUGCGCCGCAUGCCCAGCCGGUACCGGAUCUCUCCUUUGAACCCAAGGGGAUGCCCCCUCGGGUUGUCACGCGGUAUUAGACGGCGUUUCCGCCGCGUUACUCCCCCUGUACCCGGACAGGUUGCAUACGUGUUACUCACCCGUGCGCCGGUCGCCGGCAAAGAUUAGCAAGCUAACCUUCCGCUGCCCCUGACUUGCAUGUGUUAAGCCUGUCGCUAGCGUUCAUCCUGACGCCAGGAUCAAACUCU
This 517-nucleotide ribosomal RNA is filed under the name uncultured Porphyromonadaceae bacterium. Its description in RNAcentral is "partial 16S ribosomal RNA". The record is from RNAcentral. Lineage: Bacteria; Pseudomonadati; Bacteroidota; Bacteroidia; Bacteroidales; Porphyromonadaceae.